Molecule: long non-coding RNA, 239 nt
Filed under: Lathyrus oleraceus (garden pea)
Lineage: Eukaryota; Viridiplantae; Streptophyta; Magnoliopsida; Fabales; Fabaceae
Description: Pisum sativum (pea) long non-coding RNA (PSAT_LNC039418)
Source: RNAcentral
UCCAAGUCAUCCAAAGCACAAACGAUCAUGCUGGACGCAGUUGUUCGUUUCAAUCCCUCUUUUGCCUGGACCGCCCUUUCGGGUUUCAGUCCACCAGGAUACCCUUUUUUGCCCAAGUCGCCCUUGCGGGUUUUCAACUUGCCGGGUGUACAUUUCUUUUCUUUUAUUAUCCCUAACUUUUGCCCGAACCUUUCUCUUUUUCUUGGUUCGCCGGGAUGCCCAUUUUUUGCCUGGACUCU